This 399-nucleotide ribosomal RNA is filed under the name uncultured bacterium. RNAcentral describes it as "bacterial SSU rRNA". It matches the Rfam family "Bacterial small subunit ribosomal RNA", at positions 64 to 507 of the family's 1533-position model. The record is from RNAcentral.
GAACGCGUGGAGCAAUCCACGAGUGGCGGACGGGUGAGUAACGCGUGGGAACCUGCCCUGGAGUGCGGAAUAACCGAGGGAAACUUCGGCUAAUACCGCAUACGACCUACGGGUGAAAGAUUUAUCGCUCUGGGAGGGGCCCGCGCCGGAUUAGCUAGUUGGUGGGGUAACGGCCUACCAAGGCAGUGAUCCGUAGCUGGUCUGAGAGGAUGAUCAGCCACACUGGGACUGAGACACGGCCCAGACUCCUACGGGAGGCAGCAGUGGGGAAUAUUGGACAAUGGGGGCAACCCUGAUCCAGCAAUGCCGCGUGGGUGAUGAAGGCCUUAGGGUUGUAAAGCCCUUUCGGCGGGGACGAUGAUGACGGUACCCGCAGAAGAAGCCCCGGCUAACUUCGUG